GAUGAACGCUGGCGGCGUGCCUAACACAUGCAAGUCGAACGAAGCACUGAAAACGGAGAUUCGUCGAAGUUUUCUUUGACUUAGUGGCGGACGGGUGAGUAAUGCGUGAGCAACCUGCCUUUCAGAGGGGGACGAACAGUUGGAACGACUGCUAAUACCGCAUAACGUAUUUUGGGGGUCGAUCCCCGGGACGUACCAAAGGAAGCAAUACCGCUGAAAGAAUGGGCGUCACGUCUGAUUAGCUAGUUGGUGAGGUAACGGCUCACCAAGGCUGCGAUCAGUAGCCGGACUGAGAGGUUGAACGGCCACAUUGGGACUGAGAUACGGCCCAGACUCCUACGGGAGGCAGCAGUGGGGAAUAUUGGGCAAUGGGCGAAAGCCU
Molecule: ribosomal RNA, 382 nt
Filed under: uncultured bacterium
Lineage: Bacteria
Description: bacterial SSU rRNA
Rfam family: Bacterial small subunit ribosomal RNA
Source: RNAcentral